UACGAGGGGGGCAAGCGUUGUUCGGAAUUAUUGGGCGUAAAGGGUGCGUAGGCGGUUUGGUAAGUCUUAUGUGAAAUCUACAGGCUCAACUUGUAGUCUGCAUGAGAAACUGCCGGGCUUGAGUAUGGGAGAGGUGAGUGGAAUUCCUGGUGUAGCGGUGGAAUGCGCAGAUAUCAGGAGGAACACCAAUAGCGAAGGCAGCUCGCUGGGACGUUACUGACACUGAGGCGCGAAAGCGUGGGGAGCGAACAGG
Molecule: ribosomal RNA, 253 nt
Filed under: uncultured bacterium
Lineage: Bacteria
Description: partial 16S ribosomal RNA
Rfam family: Bacterial small subunit ribosomal RNA
Source: RNAcentral